Molecule: long non-coding RNA, 530 nt
Filed under: Mytilus galloprovincialis (Mediterranean mussel)
Lineage: Eukaryota; Metazoa; Mollusca; Bivalvia; Mytilida; Mytilidae
Source: RNAcentral
CUUUGAAAUAGAACUGAAUAGAUGUAAAUAAUUUAACUGUAUUCUUCUGAAUGCACGAGAUUAAAAUAUGCUUAUUUAUUUCUAAUUUGUACAAAUUAAAAAUUGCUCACUGAAUGUUCACCAGGUGCUGACUGUUUGAAGGUUGUCGACAUGGAAAUCAAAGGAACGACAGCUCUGCACUUCCACUUGUCAGGAUCCUGUCCAGCAUGAGUAGCAUCAGUACCAAUAUGGGGGAAUGGUUUGUAACUCUCCAUUGUAGUAUUACAAGAAAUAAUCUAACAGGAUUUGAUUAUCAACAACCACGUUUUGAGGUUCAAUGACCUUUACCUUUAGAAUGACUAUUCGUUGUUUUCGGUCAUAUGUGGUACAAGGGAGAGUACUCAGUUUUGGAGGUGUGUCUGGGGCACACCACAGGUUGAUCUAUAAUUUUUUUUGUGUACUUGUAUAAAUUUAAGUUUUUUGUAUGGUUGAAAAAAAUCUCUGCAAAGGUACCAGGAUUAUAAUUUAGUAUGCAAGAUGAGCGUUUCAUC